This 638-nucleotide long non-coding RNA is filed under the name Fukomys damarensis (Damara mole-rat). RNAcentral describes it as "lncRNA (ENSFDAG00000022323.1)". The record is from RNAcentral. Lineage: Eukaryota; Metazoa; Chordata; Mammalia; Rodentia; Bathyergidae.
GUGUGCGCGCAUGUGUGUGUCCAGAGAUGAUUUGAGGCCUAAUUUGCCUCAUCUGUGUGGGCAAAGAAGAAAGGCUACACUCAGGGGUGAUUGCAUAUUAGGGACAAGUUAAGACAGCUGAGGUUAAGUUGUUUACCAGAGAAUGUGCUAAUGUUAUUGGAAACCAGAUGAAUCCUGUGUUACCUUGAUUACUCAUGCUCAUGUUUGGGUGAAUAAAAGCCAGGUGAGGCAGAGGCUCUGGGCUCUUCUGCCUGCUAGAGUUACAUUGUUCCCUGUGUCCAUCUGUCCCCAUCCCGUGUACUCCAGGUCCAGGGAGGAAGGGAGGAACAAAGAGGCCACUCCAGAUCCCGGAGCAAGGCGUCCCAGGUAUCCCCCACUCUGCCACCAGCUGCUGCACGCUGACAGCCACCUUCCUGACAGCCAGCUCCUGGGUCUCAUUCUGUCACAGCUUCUCCAGACUGAUGGACAUCUGUCAUUCAGCUCUUCCCACCCAGCACCUGCAAUCCUUUCUCCGCCUUGAGAAGUGUCCAUAUCCAGCUGCAGACAGCCUACCGAGCAAAUACAAGGCAAGCAGCCUAUAGGCCCCUGGAAAGCAGGUGACUCUGUCCUUCCAUUGUUUGCCGUGCUGCACCCAUCCU